RNAcentral lists this transfer RNA (72 nucleotides) under Diaphorina citri (Asian citrus psyllid). It matches the Rfam family "tRNA". From Rfam's summary of the family: Transfer RNA (tRNA) molecules are approximately 80 nucleotides in length. Lineage: Eukaryota; Metazoa; Arthropoda; Insecta; Hemiptera; Psyllidae. The record is from Rfam by way of RNAcentral.
GCCUUGGUGGCGUCGUGGUCAAGACGCUCGCCUGGUAAACAAGAGAGUGUGGGUUCGAUCCCAUCUAAGGCA